Molecule: ribosomal RNA, 256 nt
Filed under: uncultured bacterium
Lineage: Bacteria
Description: partial 16S ribosomal RNA
Rfam family: Bacterial small subunit ribosomal RNA
Source: RNAcentral
UACGAAGGGGGCUAGCGUUGUUCGGAAUUACUGGGCGUAAAGCGCGCGUAGGCGGCUUUGUAAGUUAGAGGUGAAGGCCCGGGAGCCUUAACUCCGGAAUUGCCUUUAAGACUGCAUCGCUAGAAUUGUGGAGAGGUAAGUGGAAUUCCGAGUGUAGAGGUGAAAUUCGUAGAUAUUCGGAAGAACACCAGUGGCGAAGGCGACUUACUGGACACAUAUUGACGCUGAGGUGCGAAAAGUGUGGGGAGCAAACAGG